Molecule: long non-coding RNA, 875 nt
Organism: Pongo pygmaeus (Bornean orangutan)
Lineage: Eukaryota; Metazoa; Chordata; Mammalia; Primates; Hominidae
Exons: 4
Source: RefSeq, a predicted model, not a curated record
CUGCAGGUCUGUUGGAGUUCGCUGGAGGUCCACUCCAGACCCUGUUUGUCUGGGUAUCACCAGUGGAGGCUGCAGAACAGCAAAUGUUGCUGCCUGAUCCUUCCUCUGGAAGCUUCAUCUAAGAGGGGCACCCGGCUGUAUCCACUUACAUUCUUGAGAGAAUGAAGGUAAAAAAGAAAAGUCUUCAGACCGUGGACAAUGUGCUCUUUGUCCCUAUUACGGAGAAAGGUGUUCCCUAGUGAAUGCUUUGGAUAUACCACAAUUUAUUGGAACAUUCCCCAGUGGACAGACAUUUAGAUUGCUUCCAGUUUAUCAGUAACAAAAAACAAAGGUGCAAAGAACAUGUUUGAACAGACUUGUGCCCUGUGUUGAUGACACAAGGAUUUAAUGAGUAGAAGACAACAACUUAAAACCUCUCAUUUGAGCAUGAAUUGUCUAGGUUAAAGGUAGGCAUUGAGAUCCCAUUAGCUACUGGCACACUUGGGAAAAGAAAUGUACACAUGCACAGACACACUUUAAAGCAAGACGUCCUAAAAAUACAGCGAUGCCUGUUUCUACUCAGACCCAAAAAUGGAAUUAAAGCCAAAACUUACAACCCCUCUACUAAUUAGAGAAGUAAAAAUGUCUUCACCCCAAGUGUCCCAGCACAACGUGAAACCGAAACAAGCUGCCUUUCUUUGGAUUCCACUUAUUUAUUUAUGUUUAAAAGAAUAUUUGAAGAAAAUGACGCCUAGUAAAAGAACAGUUGGAGAAAACAUGGGACACCAUACAUUGGAAGAGAAAUGUAGGUGGAGUACACAGCUACAACAGGGAUUUUUUUUUUUUUCUUGUUGAAACACAUGAUAAUGGGCUAAUAAAAAUCUAGUUACCUUUGC